RNAcentral lists this long non-coding RNA (2198 nucleotides) under Citrus maxima (pomelo). RNAcentral's name for it is "long non-coding RNA (CMAX_LNC004121)". Lineage: Eukaryota; Viridiplantae; Streptophyta; Magnoliopsida; Sapindales; Rutaceae. The record is from RNAcentral.
AAUAGAUGACUUGAAACCGAACUAAACCAAACCGACAACAAAACCAAAUAGUUUUCAUCUCCAGUGUGUCUUCGAGCUCAUACAUCUCAAAGUAUCAAACUAUGAUUGCAAAAACCUUUCAAGUAAGUUACUUCCCAACAACCCAACCCUUGAAGCUGCAGUCGAGUUAACAAUUUUUAUGCAACUGGAUAUUAUGCAAAAAUCAAGUUAUGCUUGUGUUAGGUUUGGUUUUGUUUUCUGUUGCAAUUGAGCUUAUUCUGCAUGACAUCUGUUUGUUCCGGUGGUGAGGGAUAAAUGGAUAGUGUUAUUGGUGUUGCAGUAGUUGUGUUGUGUAGUUUUGUAGGAAGCUGCUUGCUAGUUGCUAUUGAGUUUUGAAAAAUUAGGAAACCCUCAUUUUUUAUGAUUACAGGAUCCUUCACUAAAUUUGGAUUUGGUUAAUUGAUUAUUUGCUGCUUGCUAGUUGCUACUGAGUGUUAUUAACAUAUUAUUUCACAACCAUUUAUCAAAUCUGUUUUUGUCAGGUUAUGUCACAACCAUUUAUCAAACCUAUGUUUCCCUUAUAGCAAUGAAGAUGAAUAUAAAGAUUGAGCCCCAGUAGGGGCCUUUUAACCCCCUUCCCACGAAAUGUAGCAGUAGAUAUCUCCCUAAUAUUAGUGAGAUUAUAUUUAUGAGCUAGCCUCGGUAGAUUUAUGCGCUAGUUGUACUAUAAGUGUAUAUAUCUAGAUUCUCAAUGGAUUGUAAUAUACUUUUUGUUUGUAAACAUUUCAAAGAUGGCUUUCCUUUUCACUUAAAAGAUUAUACAUAUAUGUAUAUAUAUGAGUGUGUGUGUGCGCGCGCGCGUGUGUAGCAAUACAUGGAUGAAUUUUCCAUAACAUUAUCAUUCCUAAAGUAUUAAGAACUGAGCGCAAAUGUGAUGAAGAAAAAUGUUGCAUAUUUAUGUUGUUCGUGUUCAGUUAGUAUUAAAUCAUUCUAAAAUUGUUAAUAUUGAUUUAAGUUUAAAUCAUAUGUGGGUGCACUUUUUGGAAUCUGGUUCAAGUUAAUUCCCUUCUGGUAGAGUUCAAAGUAUUGAUCUCUUAUAGAGAUGUGUUCUAGCAGCUUCUAGCAAGUUAAAUGUUCAUCGCUUAAUGGUCCAAGAUUAUUGUGUUGUGAAGUCUAAUGAGCUGCCAAGUAGCAUGUUGAGCAAUUAGUAAGAGGGGAAUGUUAAAAUGAGUACUAAUGAUUAAUUAAGUAGCCAAAAAGAGGGUGACUACUACUUGAUCAUGGACUAGAAUAUAUACCUUUUCGAAUAACAUGGGAAGUGUUUAUUACUAUUCUAAGUUAAAUGUUAUUGCAGAAAUCAGUCUACUCAUUGAAACAGAAUUAAGAAACCAGCCCUCCCUUUUGAGCUGCUUUCUUAAAGAAUGUCUGAAUUUCUUAGGUUUUUCCUAAAAGUUUCUCCAACAAUGGAAUCAGCCUUAACAAAUACAGCAGGAUAGCCAAUUGGAGCUUCCACCCAAGCUUCAGAACCUUGCCCUGUAAAUAUCUUUUCCGUCCAAAUAUGUUGCCAAGUGCUGGUUUCUCCAACUGGAAAAUAAACUCUGACUUUCUUCUUUCCUUUGUCUAGGAUUGGCACAACUAAGAUCUCAGUACCCACCAAAAACUGCUGGUAACUCAAUCUCUGCACCUUGUCAUCAUCUGGGUAGUGGAGAAAUAGGUGACGGCAUACAGGAAGACCUUUCUGAGAAGCCUCCUGUUAGAAGGCGAGAAAGAGGUUUGUUAGAAUUUACACUGAAAAUGCUGAGUUGAAUUGAAUGGAUCACCUGUGUGCGUAUAUCACCUUUACAAGUUUGAUUCUGUAGAAUUUCCAUGCUCUAUAUACUUUAGCAAAUCGUGCAAAAUGGGAUAACGUUUGUUGGUUUGAGUAGAACUGGCUGUUGAAGGAUGGUUUGUUUCCCUGCAUGUAAAUGGGUUAGCUGACUUGGUUAUUUAGAAAGAGAGUAAUGACUUAUCUACUUAUUUCAUUUUCACUCACAAAAGAUGCUAAUAAUGAUAAUGCCAUUGUUAAUGCAGGUAUAUGAAUUUCUGGAAAGAAAUUUUUAACUUACUUCAUGGGUCCGGAAAACGGUGGUGAAAGCAUUUAGCUCCAUCCAUCGCAACAGCAACUCUUCACUUCUUCUGUAUUUGAUUAGAGGUAAGUUUACUGCACAGUAACCUCCAAU